RNAcentral lists this ribosomal RNA (304 nucleotides) under uncultured bacterium. Its description in RNAcentral is "bacterial SSU rRNA". It matches the Rfam family "Bacterial small subunit ribosomal RNA", at positions 28 to 325 of the family's 1533-position model. The record is from RNAcentral.
GAUGAACGCUAGCGGCAGGCUUAAUACAUGCAAGUCGAGGGGCAGCAGCUCUGUAGCAAUACAGAGGCUGGCGACCGGCAAACGGGUGCGGAACACGUACACAACCUUCCUUUAAGUGGGGAAUAGCCCGGGGAAACCCGGAUUAAUACCCCGUAACAUUAUGAAGUGGCAUCACUUUAUAAUUAUAGCUCAGGCGCUUAAUGAUGGGUGUGCGGCUGAUUAGAUAGUUGGCGGGGUAACGGCCCACCAAGUCUGCGAUCAGUAACUGGUGUGAGAGCACGACCAGUCACACGGGCACUGAGAC